CCCUCACGCAUCUCUUCUUUUGGCCAAACACCUUCAGCAGUUUCUUUUCUCUAAUUCUCCUUUCUCGCUACGCUACCUUCACACCAUCUCUCUCCAAUCAAUUCAGUCUUGCCAAACUUAUGAAUCCGUUUCUAUUUCAAAUCAAAAAACCCUAAAUGUCAAGAAUCAUCUACAUUCGUGAAAGUAACUCACCGGAUUUCUGUCUGCCGAUCUAGGGUUUAACAGUGAUUCCAGGUGGAAUGUUUCAGAUCUGUGUUGAUCGAUGACUCUCAGGCCACCCUCGAUAGGUGAAGAUGUUGAAACCUUUCACGACGGAGGCUCUUCUCCUUCGGCUGGAGCCAACGACGACGGCGGCGGCGGCACCGAAGGGUUUAGCGAUUCUAAGUCACAGGGUUCUUACCACAAGAUCUGAAUCAGUUUCAGUUCAGGAUUGGUGAUGUUUGUGUUCGGUCUUGGUAGAACAAACGAGUUUUCCGAUGGCAUAGGUAUUUUCCGGCGACUUCUAAGUCUUGACCCGUCUUUCAGUUUCUUUUCUUAUAAAGUCUUUCAAUCAUUUACCGGAUCGGUCUUUAAAUCGGCUUCAAACAAGUGUUGGGGCCUACUCAAACUGCUAUAACGAUGCAUCUCGAUCAACGAGGUACGCAAGGCAAUUGAGAAGCACGCAUCGAUUGACAAGAUCAAACAGAAGCUUGGAGAUGAGUAUUCGCAGUAUUUAUCUGAUUGGAUCAAAGUUCCUAAUAUUACCGAGUUCCACUUUCUAGUUGCAUCGUAGAAAUUAUGGCUGAAGGGAAGAGUGAGAUGGAUAAGGAUGUUACGGAGAUCAAAAAGUGGAUUGUAUGAUAUAUAUGUCGAGAUUAUUAAGUUUGAAGUGCGGGUUGUUUAGCGGAGAUCAUUCCGAGUCAACAUCCACUCAGUGUACUAUCGAUCUUAUAUGCUAAGGUUGUCGGCCGAACCUACACUGUUAUCGGUACACUGGAUCCCCGCUGUAACGCACGAGUUAGAGACCAACUAACUUAUAUUAAACAACAAGAUGAAAGCACCGGUUGAGUUUUAACAUCAUCUAAUGUGGAGAUUGGAGAAAGUGCUAAGUAUGUGGUGAUUGAUUACCUGUUGUAUGUUUUUGUGAUUCUGACAAUUUGGAUAAGAUGUGGACUGCAAAAAAAGUGAAUAUAACUUAGUUUCUUCUUUUAUUAGAUCGGGAAGUGAUGAUUCUUAUUCAUGACAUUAUCAUCAUUAUGCAUGACAACUCAAGUUGUAAUUAUGAAUGAAAUAUAACAUAGGUUUUACUAUUAUCUAUAGUACCAACUUUAGUGCCAUCGUUGCUUAUAAAAGGCAUCUCAACCGUUUGUUUAAUUUGUGUAGAUAAAUCCAAGGCUUAAAUGAGGUACGAGAAUAUGUAUUUGGUAUAAAUUGCAUGCGUGACGAUACCAAAACUGCAAGCUCCGAUAUGUGUAUGGGAGCAAAGAACUCCACCACUCAAUCUUACCAGUGAUUACUUUGUAGCAAAGAGUAUUUGUCA
This 1519-nucleotide long non-coding RNA is filed under the name Helianthus annuus (common sunflower). The record is from RNAcentral. Lineage: Eukaryota; Viridiplantae; Streptophyta; Magnoliopsida; Asterales; Asteraceae.